Molecule: ribosomal RNA, 434 nt
Filed under: uncultured bacterium
Lineage: Bacteria
Description: bacterial SSU rRNA
Rfam family: Bacterial small subunit ribosomal RNA
Source: RNAcentral
AUUUAUUUACUAACUUCCAGCUUCUAACCUCUAAUAUCUAAAUCGAUAGUGGCGGACGGGUGAGUAACACGUUGGAACCUGCCCCAAAGUAAGGGAUAAGCCACCGAAAGGUGGUCUAAUACCUUAUAGUAUCCAUCUCGUAUGGAUUAAAGCUUUAUGCGCUUUGGGAGGGGCCCUGCGUUUGAUUAGCUAGUUGGUGAGGUAAAAAGCUCACCAAGGCGACGAUCAAUAGCUGGUUUGAGAGGAUGACCAGCCACACUGGGACUGAGAUACGGCCCAGACUCCUACGGGAGGCAGCAGUAAGGAAUCUUCCACAAUGGGGCAACCCUGAUGGAGCAAUACCGCGUGCAGGAUGAAGCGUUUCGGCGUGUAAACUGCUUUUAUCACCGAAGAUUAUGACUGUAGGUGAAGAAUAAGGACCGGCUAACUACGUG